RNAcentral lists this ribosomal RNA (458 nucleotides) under uncultured bacterium. RNAcentral describes it as "SSU rRNA". It matches the Rfam family "Bacterial small subunit ribosomal RNA", at positions 26 to 518 of the family's 1533-position model. The record is from RNAcentral.
AGAACGAACGCUGGCGGCAUGCUUAACACAUGCAAGUUGAACGGACUAAUUUGGGGCUUGCUCCGAAUUAGUUAGUAGCAGACGGGUGAGUAACACGUGGGAAUCUACCCAUCAGUACGGAAUAACAUUUGGAAACAAAUGCUAAUACCGUAUAUUCUCUUCGGAGGAAAGAUUUAUCGCUGAUGGAUGAGCCCGCGUCAGAUUAGGUAGUUGGUGGGGUAAUGGCCUACCAAGCCUACGAUCUGUAGCUGGUCUGAGAGGAUGAUCAGCCACACUGGGACUGAGACACGGCCCAGACUCCUACGGGAGGCAGCAGUGGGGAAUAUUGGACAAUGGGCGAAGCCUGAUCCAGCAAUGCCGCGUGAAUGAUGAAGGCCUUAGGGUUGUAAAGUUUCUUUAACAGGGAAGAUAAUGACGGUACCUGUAGAUAAGCCCGGCUACUCCGUGCCAGCAGCCGC